UGGGGAAUAUUGGGCAAUGGGCGCAAGCCUGACCCAGCAACGCCGCGUGAGGGAAGAAGGUCUUCGGAUUGUAAACCUCUGUCCUUGGGGACGAAAAAAAUGACGGUACCCAAGGAGGAAGCUCCGGCUAACUACGUGCCAGCCGCCGCGGUAAUACGUAGGGAGCGAGCGUUGUCCGGAAUUACUGGGCGUAAAGGGUGCGUAGGCGGCAUGGCAAGUCAGAUGUGAAAUCCCCGGGCUUAACUCGGGUGGUGCAUUUGAAACUGCCAAGCUUGAGUGCAGGAGAGGAAAGCGGAAUUCCUAGUGUAGCGGUGAAAUGCGUAGAUAUUAGGAGGAACACCGAUGGCGAAGGCAGGUCUCUGGGCCGCAACUGACGCUGAGGAGCGAAAGCAUGGGGAGCGAACAGG
This 407-nucleotide ribosomal RNA is filed under the name uncultured prokaryote. RNAcentral describes it as "bacterial SSU rRNA". It matches the Rfam family "Bacterial small subunit ribosomal RNA", at positions 355 to 776 of the family's 1533-position model. The record is from RNAcentral.